Molecule: transfer RNA, 72 nt
Filed under: Stegodyphus mimosarum
Lineage: Eukaryota; Metazoa; Arthropoda; Arachnida; Araneae; Eresidae
Rfam family: tRNA
About the family: Transfer RNA (tRNA) molecules are approximately 80 nucleotides in length. Their secondary structure includes four short double-helical elements and three loops (D, anti-codon, and T loops).
Source: Rfam by way of RNAcentral
GCCUUCGUGAUGCAAUGGUAGCACGCUUGACGCAUAUUCGAAAGGUCCAGGGUUCGAGUCCCGACGAAGGCA